GGCCCUAUCGUCUAACGGUUAGGACAAUGCCCUCUCACGGCAUAAACGGGGGUUCGAUUCCCCCUGGGGCUG
This 72-nucleotide transfer RNA is filed under the name Candidatus Jorgensenbacteria bacterium RIFCSPHIGHO2_02_FULL_45_20. RNAcentral describes it as "tRNA-Glu". It matches the Rfam family "tRNA". From Rfam's summary of the family: Transfer RNA (tRNA) molecules are approximately 80 nucleotides in length. Their secondary structure includes four short double-helical elements and three loops (D, anti-codon, and T loops). The record is from RNAcentral. RNAcentral also lists the same sequence under 1 other name. Lineage: Bacteria; Candidatus Joergenseniibacteriota.